Molecule: ribosomal RNA, 427 nt
Filed under: uncultured bacterium
Lineage: Bacteria
Description: partial 16S ribosomal RNA
Rfam family: Bacterial small subunit ribosomal RNA
Source: RNAcentral
UGGGGAAUAUUGGACAAUGGGCGAAAGCCUGAUCCAGCCAUGCCGCGUGUGUGAAGAAGGUCUUCGGAUUGUAAAGCACUUUAAGUUGGGAGGAAGGGCAUUAACCUAAUACGUUAGUGUUUUGACGUUACCGACAGAAUAAGCACCGGCUAACUCUGUGCCAGCAGCCGCGGUAAUACAGAGGGUGCAAGCGUUAAUCGGAAUUACUGGGCGUAAAGCGCGCGUAGGUGGUUUGUUAAGUUGGAUGUGAAAUCCCCGGGCUCAACCUGGGAACUGCAUUCAAAACUGACUGACUAGAGUAUGGUAGAGGGUGAUGGAAUUUCCUGUGUAGCGGUGAAAUGCGUAGAUAUAGGAAGGAACACCAGUGGCGAAGGCGACCACCUGGACUAAUACUGACACUGAGGUGCGAAAGCGUGGGGAGCAAACA